RNAcentral lists this ribosomal RNA (600 nucleotides) under uncultured bacterium. RNAcentral's name for it is "bacterial SSU rRNA". It matches the Rfam family "Bacterial small subunit ribosomal RNA", at positions 91 to 698 of the family's 1533-position model. The record is from RNAcentral.
GAAGUGAGCGUAAGGGUGCGUAACAGUAUGCAUCUACCCGCAACAGGAGGAUAGCUCCCCGAAAGGGGAAUUAAUACUCCAUAAGAUCACACGAAGGCAUCUGAGAGUGAUUAAACUACAAGGGGUUGCGGAUGAGCAUGCGUUUGAUUAGUUAGUUGGUGAGGUAACGGCUCACCAAGACGAUGAUCAAUAGGGAACUGAGAGGUUGAUCCCCCACACUGGCACUGAGAUACGGGCCAGACUCCUACGGGAGGCAGCAGUAGGGAAUAUUGGUCAAUGGGUGAGAGCCUGAACCAGCCAUGCCGCGUGCAGGAAGAAGGCCUUCUGGGUUGUAAACUGCUUUUGCCAGGGGAUUAAAAUAGCUUUGCGAAGCAAAAUUGAAGGUACCUGGUGAAUAAAGCCACGGUAACUACGUGCCACAGCCGCGGUAAUACGUAGUGCAAGCGUUGUCCGGAUUUAUGGGGUUAAGGGUGCGUAGCGGUUCCCAUAAUUCAGGUGAAAUACAGCCGGUUUAACGGUUGAGGUGCCAUUGAUACUGGGGAACUUGAGUNCAGACAAGGUAGGGGAAUUGACGGGUUUACGGGGGAAAUGCUUAAUUUC